This 497-nucleotide ribosomal RNA is filed under the name uncultured bacterium. RNAcentral's name for it is "partial 16S ribosomal RNA". It matches the Rfam family "Bacterial small subunit ribosomal RNA", at positions 28 to 507 of the family's 1533-position model. The record is from RNAcentral.
GAUGAACGCUGGCGGCGUGCCUAACACAUGCAAGUCGAGCGAACAGACGAGGAGUUUGCUCCUCUGACGUUACCGGCGGACGGGUGAGUCAUACGUGGCUAACCUCACUACAAGACUGGGCUAACUUCGGGAAACCGGAGUUCCUACUGGUUAAUAAAUAGAACAGCAUGGUUUUAUAAUGAAAGUCAGCUUUGCUGUCACUCAUAGAUGGACACGCGCCGCAUUAGCUAGUUGGUAAGGUACAGGCUUACCAAGGCUACGUUGCGUAGCCGACCUGAGAGGAUGAGCGGCCGCACUGGAACUGUGACACGGUCCAAGCUCCUACGGGAGGGAGCAUUAGGGAAUCUUGCGGAAUGGGCGAAAGCUUGACGACACAACGCCGCGUGACUGAUGAAGCACUUCUGAGUGUAAGACGCUGUUAUUAGGGAAGAACAAUGGUGUAAGUAACGAUGCACGUCUUGACGGUACCUAAACAGAAAGCCACGGCUAACUACGUG